CAGUCGCCACGGUAAAACGAAGGGGGCUAGCGUUGCUCGGAAUUACUGGGCGUAAAGGGCGCGUAGGCGGACAGUUAAGUCAGAGGUGAAAGCCCAGGGCUCAACCUUGGAACUGCCUUUGAUACUGGCUGUCUAGAGUGCGGGAGAGGUGUGUGGAACUCCGAGUGUAGAGGUGAAAUUCGUAGAUAUUCGGAAGAACACCAGUGGCGGAGGCGACACACAGGCCCGUAACUGACGCUGAGGCGCGAAAGCGUGGGGAGCAAACAGGAUUAGAUACCCGCGUAGUCCCUGUCUCUUAUAC
RNAcentral lists this ribosomal RNA (301 nucleotides) under uncultured bacterium. RNAcentral describes it as "partial 16S ribosomal RNA". It matches the Rfam family "Bacterial small subunit ribosomal RNA", at positions 509 to 807 of the family's 1533-position model. The record is from RNAcentral.